RNAcentral lists this long non-coding RNA (291 nucleotides) under Nicotiana tabacum (common tobacco). Its description in RNAcentral is "long non-coding RNA (NTAB_LNC010291)". The record is from RNAcentral. Lineage: Eukaryota; Viridiplantae; Streptophyta; Magnoliopsida; Solanales; Solanaceae.
GGAAUACAUUUAAGUUCUAGGUUGCCCACCAGUAUAAUGCGGGAAUACAUUUAAGUUCUAGGUCACCCACCAGUAUAAUGCGGAAUUACUAUUUAAGUUCGUAGGUUCCCACCAGUAUAAUGCGGGAAUACUUUUAAGUUCUAGGUCGCCCACCAGUAUAAUGCGGGAAUACAUUUAAGUUCUAGGUCGCCCACCAGUAUAAUGCGGGAAUACUUUUAAGUUCUAGGUCGCCCACCAGUAUAAUGCGGGAAUACUUUUAAGUUCUAGGUUGCCCACCAAUAUAAUGCGGGA